This 282-nucleotide long non-coding RNA is filed under the name Citrus sinensis (sweet orange). RNAcentral's name for it is "long non-coding RNA (CSIN_LNC005585)". Lineage: Eukaryota; Viridiplantae; Streptophyta; Magnoliopsida; Sapindales; Rutaceae. The record is from RNAcentral.
CCAGGAAGUUCGAUGCUAACUUCAUCAUGUGAGUAAACAGAGACAAUAUUUAUUGAUUAUUAAGAAAGUCACUUUCUGACCAAGACUUGCUUUUGGAAAAUCAUACAUUAGUACAACCACACAACUCCUAUCGCUUAAUAUUUUUUUCCCCAAAAGAUAUUUGCAUGAAUAAAUUCUUUGAAAUAAAUACUGCAUUGGAGUUGUUGUAAUUAUAAUAAUCAUACUGCAUUGGAGUUCAUUUAAGUGGCUUCCUUCAAUACACUCAAAAGCUGUAAGUUCAAU